Molecule: RNA transcript, 5577 nt
Organism: Sander lucioperca (pikeperch)
Lineage: Eukaryota; Metazoa; Chordata; Actinopteri; Perciformes; Percidae
Gene name: rho-associated protein kinase 2-like
Exons: 35
Source: RefSeq, a predicted model, not a curated record
GCUUUCCGACAGUGGUCUGUCCUACAGGUUGGCACCGAUACGUUGUUGUCGGAUCAGAUUUUGUUGUAGCUACCUGGGAGAACACGGGGCUCACCUGAAAGUGGAUCGCCUUCACUCGGCUCUCAAAAGUCCGCUUGGUUUCCACUUUGUUGUGCGAUAUUAAUGAAAAAAAGAGUGAGGCAGCGUACUUUGGCAGCGGAUAAAUAAUUAACCUGGCAACUCAAGAGGCAGUUUACAGAAGAGCUGACAUGAGGAGCUGAGCCAAGCAGUAGCGGAGUGCGCCUCUCGACCGCGACAGAAAGACAGGCCCACAGGUGUUUUUGAAUUUUUUCUGUUUCAUGUCAUUUGACCUGAAUACACUGCACUGUUAUCAUGCUCGGAGCGGAGAGCAGACUGGAAACCCGGUUGAAGAAGCUGGAGUCCCUGAUAAGGAACCCAGAGUCGGCACUAAACUUGGAAACCCUACUGGAUUCCAUGAACGCGCUGGCUCAUGAUUUGAACUAUCCUGCUCUGCGGAAAAACAAAAACAUUGAGGCCUUUCUGAGCCGAUAUGAAAAGGCAGCGAGUCAGCUGCGAGAACUGCAGGUGAAGCCUGACGACUUUGAAAAAGUGAAGUUGAUCGGGAGAGGAGCCUAUGGAGAAGUGAAGCUGGUCCGUCACAAGGCCUCUCGGAAGGUUUACGCCAUGAAGCAGCUCAGCAAGUUUGAGAUGAUCAAGCGGUCAGACUCUGCCUUCUUCUGGGAGGAGAGGCACAUCAUGGCCUUUUCCAACAGUCCUUGGGUCGUCCAGCUGUGCUGUGCUUUCCAAGAUGACCGCCACCUCUACUUGGUGAUGGAGUUCAUGCCUGGAGGCGACCUGGUCACGCUCACCAUGAACUAUGACAUACCUGAGAAGUGGGCUCGCUUCUACACAGCUGAAGUAGUGCUGGCGUUGAACGCCAUCCACUCCAUGGGCUUCAUCCAUCGGGACGUCAAACCUGACAACAUGCUGCUGGACCAACACGGACACCUCAAACUGGCAGAUUUCGGCACGUGCAUGAAGAUGGACUCGACAGGCAUGGUGCACUGUGAAACUGCUGUAGGCACACCAGACUACAUUUCCCCUGAGGUGCUUCAGUCUCAGGAUGGUGCCGGUUACUACGGCCGGGAGUGCGACUGGUGGUCUGUAGGAGUCUUUAUCUAUGAGUUGCUGGUCGGUGAAACUCCCUUCUAUGCUGAAUCCCUGGUUGGGACUUAUGGGAAGAUCAUGAACCACAAGAACACACUCAUCUUCCCAGAGGAUGUAGAGAUGUCUCAGGAUGCCAAAGACCUCAUCUGUGCCUUUCUUACUGACAGGAAGGUUCGUCUGGGACGCACUGGAGUGGAUGAGAUCAAGUGUCACCCUUUCUUUAAGAACGAUCAGUGGACCUUUGACAACAUCCGAGAGACUGUUGCUCCAGUUGUGCCUGAGCUGAACGGCGACAUAGACACCAGUAACUUUGAUGACAUAGAGGAUGAUAAAGGAGCUGCUGAGACCUUUUCUCCACCCAAGGCCUUUGUGGGCAACCAACUACCUUUCGUCGGCUUCACUUACUUCAAGGAGGACCAGCUGCUGAAGGGAAAUAACAACUGCUCUGUGGAGGAUUCAGAGGACAGUAAAGAACACUCUCAGGAUAAGGAUUAUUGCUCGGACAGUAAGAAAGAGCUGCAGAAAAAGCUUCAUCAGCUGGAGGAGCAGGUCGACCAUGAGAUGCAGGCCAAAGAUGAGCUGGAGCACAAGUGCAAAAUUGCCAACAACCGUUUAGACAAGCUGGUCAAAGAAUUAGACAAGGAGAUGAGUAGCAGGCAGAAAGUCGAGGCCUCACUGAGGCAGCUGGAGAGAGAGAGAGCUCUGCUGCAGCACCAGAGCACCGAGAACCUCCGCAAGGUGGAGAUUGAAACUGACAGAAAACGCAGCCUGGAGAACGAAUUGAACAACCUGAGGGACCAGCUAGAGGAUCUUAGAAAGAAGAACCAGAAUUCCCAGAUCUCCAAUGAGAACAACAUCCAGCUGCAGAGACAACUCGAGGAGGCCAACGCCGUGCUGCAGGCUGAGCAGGAGGCGGCAGCGCGGCUGAAGAAGAGUCAGGCAGAGGCGCAGAAACAGGCUGAGAGCCUGGAGGUCAGCCUCAGGGAGAUGCAGGAAAAGUGCAGCCAGCUUGAAAACAGCAAGAUGGAGCUGGAGAAGCGGCUGAUGGGGCUGCAGGCCGAGCUGGAGGAGGAGAGAAGACACCGCAACCUCGGGACAGAAACUAUUACUGACCUGCAGGGACGUAUCUCUGGCCUGGAAGAAGAGGUGAAAGACGUGAAGUCAUCUCUCUCCAAGGUCCAGUCUGAAAAGAAGCUGCUACAUGAGAAGCUCAAUGACCUCGAGAAGGAGAAGAGCAACCAAGAGAUUGACUUGACGUUCAAGCUGAAGUCGCUCCAACAGAGUCUGGAGCAGGAGGAGGCAGAACACAAAGCCACCAAAGCCAAGCUGGCAGAUAAAAACAAUAUCCACCAGUCCAUCGAGGAGAAGUCUGAGGCCUUAAAAAAGAUGGAAUGCACCCUGCAGGAGGAGCGCAGCUUGAAGCUGCAGUUGGAGGGAAAGCUGCUGCAACAACAGAAGGACCACUCCAUGCUGGACUGUGACUACAAGCAGGCGCAGCACAAACUGGAGGAGCUGCAGGCACAAAAGGAGAAAAUGUCUGAAGAGGUAAAAAGCCUGAGCGUGCGUCUAGAGCAGGAGAUCCACAAGCGGAGCAUGAGCCAGAGCGAUCUGAAGAUGCAGAACCAGCAGGUGUCAGUGCUCCUCUCCUCAGAGAAACAGCUCAAACAGGAGCUCAACCACCUGCUUGACAUGAAGCAGGUCCUGGAGAAACAGAACCAGGAGCUACGCAGGGAGAAGCAGGAGGUGGGUGGCCAGCUGAAGGAACUGAAAGACCAACUGGAGGCUGAGCAGUAUUUCACAACUCUUUACAAGACGCAGAUCCGUGAGCUGAAGGACGAGCGUGAUGAGAGGAACAAGCUGUACAAAGAGGUGCAGCAGCGACUGGCAGAAUAUCAGGAGGAGAGGAGUUCCAUGACAGCGCAGCUGGAAGCCAGUUUGACCAAGGCGGACUCUGAGCAGCUUGCUCGCUCUAUCGCUGAGGAGCAGUACUCGGAUCUGGAGAAGGAGAAGAUCAUGAAGGAGCUGGAGAUCAAAGACAUGAUGGCAAGACACAAACAGGAGCUCGGUGACAAGGAGGCCACCAUCAGCUCGCUGGAAGAGUCCAACCGCACUCUGACCGUGGACGUGGCCAACCUGGCCAGCGAGAAAGAGGAGCUCAACAACCAGCUGAAAGACAUGCAGCAACAGCUCCAGAAAAUGAAGGAGGAGGAGAAGCAGAUGAACUCGCUCAAACUGUCCUUUGAAAAGCUUCUGCAGAAUGAACGAACGCUUAAAAUUCAGGCUGUCAACAAGCUGGCCGAGGUGAUGAACAGGAGGGAGACAGGGCAAAGAGGCCACCGAAGCAUCGACACCGAGGUGCACAGGAAGGAGAAGGAGAACAGGAAGCUGCAGCUGGAGCUGAGAGCGGAGAAGGAGAAGCUCAACAGCACCAUCAUCAAGUACCAGAGAGAGCUGACGGAUAUGCAGGCGCUAAUAGCAGAAGAGAACCAGGUGCGUCUGGAGCUUCAGAUGGCAUUGGACAGCAAAGACAGUGACAUCGAGCAGCUUCGUUGCCAGAUCACCUCCCUCAGCGUUCACUCUCUGGACUCCACCAGCAUUAGCAGUGGCAACGACAUGGACAUGGGUGACGGAUACCCAGUGCGCAUUACUCACUCUCACACCUCAGAAUCAAUGUCCUUCACCUACCAGCGCACACACAAAUCUGUCUGCAUCGACACCCGGCCCAACCUUCACUCUGCUCACACUCUCUUCGACUCUGACUCUGAGGAUGAAGAAGAAUAUGACGGGCGGGUGGAGCAGGGCCACCGUCCCCUGGCCCUCACCUACGAACAGCCCCCUGAGGCUGAACCUGCAGACUCCAGGCUGGAGGGCUGGAUUUCACUUCCUACCAAGAACACAAAGCGGUUUGGCUGGGACAAAAAAUUUAUAGUUGUGAGCAGUAAGAAGAUCCUGUUCUACAACAGCGAGCUGGACCGAGAACAGGCCAACCCUUUCAUGACCCUGGACAUCGAUAAGCUGUUUCAUGUCCGACCUGUCACUCAAACUGACGUGUACCGUGCAGAUGCCAAAGAAAUUCCAAGGAUUUUCCAGAUCUUGUAUGCCAAUGAAGGCGAGAUUAAACGUGAACAGGAGCUUGCAGUGGAGCCCGCCCCGUAUGGUGACCGCCCCUCCUACAUCAGCCACAAGGGCCACGAGUUCAUCCUCACUCUGUACCACUUUCCCUCCAGCUGUGAGGCCUGUGCUCGGCCCCUGUGGCACGUUUUCAAGCCCCCGCCAGCCCUCGAGUGCCGCCGCUGCCACACCAAGUGCCACAAAGAUCACCUGGACAGAAAGGAGGAAGUUAUUGUGCCCUGCAAGGUGAACUACGACAUAUCCACUGCCAAAGAGCUGCUUCUGCUGACCAACUCUCAGGAGGAGCAGCAGCGCUGGGUCAGCCACCUCCUCAAACGCAUCCCGAGGAAACACCCAACAAUGAGUCCUCCCUCUGCGGCACAAAACAACCUUCAUGAAGCGACAUCAAGCUCCUCUCCGCGAGUCUCCCCGCGACCUUCACCCAGGGCUUCGCCUCGUAUGUCGGCCCAUCGCGGAGCCAUCAAGAUCCAGCCCAGCAGACAGCAGCAGCCAUCAGGCAAGCCCAGCACUGGCCCCAUGCUCCGUAUCAUCCUCCACUGACCUUUGACCUCUGACCUCUCCAUUCUAACGUCUCUCAUGCUGGGAGACUAUUGCUUGAGUUUGGCCUUAAAGACUGGAAUUGGCCGUUGGAUGAUGACGAUAAUGAUGAUGAUGAUGAUGAUUUGUUCUUCUGAAGGAAGUGAAAGAGGGGGUACAGAGGUUAACCCUGGUUGAUCAAAGAUGUGUAUUUUCAUCUUUGUGCAUAUAUGACCGCAGUCUGGAUGCAGUUCCUACAGUACAUGUUAUUUCUUCAGGGCAGUAGACUGAAAAAAAUGGACAGAAACUGGCUGUUGUCAUGAGAACUGGGGCUGCCUUUGUCAUUUUAACAAGAAGAAAAUGAGUAUGAGAGCGAGACUUCAUCUAUAGGAAAAGUUUUUUAAAAACUUGACUGAAACUGCCUUAUUUUAUAAACAUCAUGAAAAAUAUGGACAUUUUAUUCUGUCAGAUGCAGUGACUGACAUGGAUUUGUGUUUGUGAGGUGUUAGUCAUAUGUGUGAACAUUUGUAUAUAGGAUUAAGAUGUCUGUCUGUGUAUUGUAACACAAAGUGUAGCUCAUAGUAAAUGACAACAUGUCAGCAGCACAUUAUACAUUAUAUGCUUGUUUUGUAAAUUAAUACAGUUUUCAUUGCACAAAGUAGAUCCAUUACAACAGAAGACAGAAUAAUGUGAAUUGAACGGAAACAAUGUUUUCUUCUUUCCAUUCAUGACAAAUUCAAAUAAAUUAUGUAACCAUGAAAA